GGAUUUGAAAAUGAUAUGGCUGCAGUAUUUGUCAUCCCAUUGAUCUCCAGGGUUAAUUCAGUUGCUCUACACAACUAGGUAGGUGUACCAUUCCUCCUACACCACUCAUGUGCUUUUUUCCUAAAGCCAAUUGAUCAGUUGAAGAAGACAACCUUCCCUGCUAGGGAAGGACCAUUCUGUCACCAAUAAAAGUAGGUAUGCUCUCCUGCUAGAACCUCCAAAGAGACCCCCAAGAAAUGCUAACCUAAGUGAUGGGCAGGUGUCGUGCUAGUUCCUGUCACUAUGGCAUUAAGUAAUGUUGUAACCGAAUGAGAAUUACAUUUUGGCUAUAAGU
Cricetulus griseus (Chinese hamster) is the source of this 334-nucleotide unclassified non-coding RNA. Its record names the gene 7SK. It matches the Rfam family "7SK RNA". Rfam says of the family: 7SK was discovered as an abundant small nuclear RNA in the mid-70s but a possible function has only recently been suggested. Two independent studies have found that 7SK RNA binds the CDK9/cyclin T complex (known as elongation factor P-TEFb). The record is from Ensembl. NCBI's taxonomy places the organism in Eukaryota, Metazoa, Chordata, Mammalia, Rodentia, Cricetidae.